RNAcentral lists this transfer RNA (68 nucleotides) under Neoscopelus macrolepidotus. Its description in RNAcentral is "tRNA-Ser (AGY)". The record is from RNAcentral. Lineage: Eukaryota; Metazoa; Chordata; Actinopteri; Myctophiformes; Neoscopelidae.
GAGGGUGGCUCGACAGCAGCAAAGAUUGCUAAUCCUCGCCCCCUCGGUUAGACCCCGGGGCUCCCUCG